GAACUUAAGCAUAUCAAUAAGCGGAGGAAAAGAAACUAACAAGGAUUCCCCUAGUAACGGCGAGUGAAGCGGGAACAGCUCAAAUUUGAAAUCUCAGCGCAAGCUGCGAAUUGUAGUUUAGAGAAACGUUUUCGGGGCCGGCAGCCAGUACAAGUUCUUUGGAACAAGGCAUCACAGAGGGUGAAAAUCCCGUCUUUGACUGGCUGCUUGGUUCCAUGUGAUACGUUUUCCAAGAGUCGGUUUGUUUGGGAAUGCAGACCGAAAUGGGUGGUAAAUACCAUCUAAAGCUAAAUAUUGGCGAGAGACCGAUAGCGAACAAGUACCGUGAGGGAAAGAUGAAAAGAACUUUGAAAAGAGAGUUAAACAGUGCGUGAAAUUGUCAAAAGGGAAACGUUUAAAACCAGUAUUGCGGGCAGAAACUCAGGUUCCAUUUAUGGUGCUGUAUUUUCCUGUCGGCGAGUCAACAUCAGUUUUGCUUGGAGUAAAACGCCAGGGGAAGGUAGCCUUCGGGUGUUAUAGCCUCUGGUAAUGCUCUGGGCGGGACUGAGGACUGCAGCGUUCUUUGGGUUUACCACACCAACGCUUAGGAUGUUGACGAAAUGGUUUUAAGCGACCCGUCUUGAAACACGGACCAAGGAGUCUAACAUAUAUGCGAGUAUUUGGGUGGCAAACCCUUAUGCGUAAUGAAAGUGAAAAGGUGGGAUCCUUUGCUGGUGCACCAUCGACCGCGCCAGAUUAUUGCUAUCUCGGCGUGAGUAUGAGCAUACAUGUUGGGACCCGAAA
RNAcentral lists this ribosomal RNA (783 nucleotides) under uncultured fungus. RNAcentral's name for it is "eukaryotic LSU rRNA". It matches the Rfam family "Eukaryotic large subunit ribosomal RNA", at positions 30 to 821 of the family's 3401-position model. Lineage: Eukaryota; Fungi. The record is from RNAcentral.